GCCCUUAGAGUUUGAUCCUGGCUCAGGACGAACGCUGGCGGCAGGCUUAACACAUGCAAGUCGCACGAGAACAGGCCUUCGGGCCUUAGUAAAGUGGCGGACGGGUGAGUAACACGUAGACAACCUGCCCCAAAGCGAGGGAUAACUAUCGGAAACGGUAGCUAAUACCGCAUGCAGUCUUUACCGGGCAUCCGGUUUAGAUGAAAGCCUUCGGGCGCUUUGGGAUGGGUCUGCGGAGGAUUAGUUUGUUGGUAGGGUAAAGGCCUACCAAGACUACGAUCCAUAGCUGGUCUGAGAGGACAAUCAGCCACACUGGGACUGAGACACGGCCCAGACUCCUACGGGAGGCAGCAGUGGGGAAUCUUGGGCAAUGGGCGAAAGCCUGACCCAGCCAUGCCGCGUGGAGGAAGACACCCCUAUGGGGCGCAAACUCCUUUUGUGCAGGAAGAAGGCCCCGGUCACCGAGGUUUGACGGUACUGCACGAAUAAGCACCGGCUAACUCCGUGCCAGCAGCCGCGGUAAUACGGAGGGUGCAAGCGUUGUCCGGAAUCACUGGGUGUAAAGGGUGUGUAGGCGGGAUUGUAAGUCAGAGGUGAAAUCUUGCGGCUCA
This 611-nucleotide ribosomal RNA is filed under the name uncultured Bacteroidota bacterium. RNAcentral's name for it is "bacterial SSU rRNA". It matches the Rfam family "Bacterial small subunit ribosomal RNA", at positions 1 to 611 of the family's 1533-position model. The record is from RNAcentral. Lineage: Bacteria; Pseudomonadati; Bacteroidota.